GACGAACGCUGGCGGCGCGCCUAACACAUGCAAGUCGAACGGAGUUAUUUUCUUCACUCCGAGCUUUUUGCCGGUUAGCCGGAGCGGCAAUCGGUUUUGCCCAGUAUAAAAAGCAAAACCGAUUUAGGCUCAUAAAGUAAGGCUAACACAGAGGGCAGAGAGUUGGGAGUGAAGAAAAUAACUUAGUGGCGAACGGGUGAGUAACGCGUGAGUAACCUGCCCUGGAGUGGGGGACAACAGUUGGAAACGACUGCUAAUACCGCAUAAGCCCACGAUUCGGCAUCGGAUUGAGGGAAAAGGAUUUAUUCGCUUCAGGAUGGACUCGCGUCCAAUUAGCUAGUUGGUGAGGUAACGGCCCACCAAGGCGACGAUUGGUAGCCGGACUGAGAGGUUGAACGGCCACAUUGGGACUGAGACACGGCCCAGACUCCUACGGGAGGCAGCAGUGGGGGAUAUUGCACAAUGGGGGAAACCCUGAUGCAGCGACGCCGCGUGGAGGAAGAAGGUUUUCGGAUUGUAAACUCCUGUCGUUAGGGACGAUAAUGACGGUAC
This 552-nucleotide ribosomal RNA is filed under the name uncultured bacterium. Its description in RNAcentral is "bacterial SSU rRNA". It matches the Rfam family "Bacterial small subunit ribosomal RNA", at positions 28 to 478 of the family's 1533-position model. The record is from RNAcentral.